GCCUUCUUAGCUCAGAGGUAGAGCAUUGUAUUUGUAAUGCGAUGGUCGUCGGUUCGAAUCCGACAGAAGGCUAAU
This 75-nucleotide transfer RNA is filed under the name Flexiglena variabilis. RNAcentral describes it as "tRNA-Thr". It matches the Rfam family "tRNA". From Rfam's summary of the family: Transfer RNA (tRNA) molecules are approximately 80 nucleotides in length. Their secondary structure includes four short double-helical elements and three loops (D, anti-codon, and T loops). The record is from RNAcentral. Lineage: Eukaryota; Euglenozoa; Euglenophyceae; Euglenales; Phacaceae.